This 371-nucleotide ribosomal RNA is filed under the name uncultured organism. RNAcentral describes it as "bacterial SSU rRNA". It matches the Rfam family "Bacterial small subunit ribosomal RNA", at positions 526 to 896 of the family's 1533-position model. The record is from RNAcentral.
CAGAGGUGGCAAGCGUUGUUCGAAUUACUGGGCGUAAAGGGCGCGUAGGCGGCCUUCUAAGUCAGACGUGAAAUCCCCAGGCUUAACUUGGGAACUGCGUCUGAUACUGGAGGGCUCGAGUGCGGGAGAGGGAUGUGGAAUUCCAGGUGUAGCGGUGAAAUGCGUAGAUAUCUGGAGGAACACCGGUGGCGAAGGCGGCAUCCUGGACCGACACUGACGCUGAGGCGCGAAAGCUAGGGGAGCAAACGGGAUUAGAUACCCCGGUAGUCCUAGCCCUAAACGAUGAGUGCUUGGUGUGGCGGGUAUCGAUCCCUGCCGUGCCGAAGCUAACGCAUUAAGCACUCCGCCUGGGGAGUACGGUCGCAAGGCUG